AGUGACAAUAUAAUAAGAACAAAAAAAGAAUAACAGAAAUUACUAAAAUAUAUAAUAGUUAUUAAAACUUAUUCAAAUAGAGUAACAUUAUAAUUAUGACAAUUUCAUCUAACACUGUAUUUUGCAUGUGCAAGAGUAAGGAUCGGGAUCACAAUGACAAUCAGAAUAGGGUGUUCCAAGCGGGUCAUGUCUUAUGAACGCAUUGCGGCAAUCAUCUGCACCUCCACAGACAUGGUCAAGCUUCAAGUGAUCCCAACAAUAGUGUGGUGGGGGGUCACCUAAAAACAUUGGAACCACUGAAUUAUACCAAGUAUUGGGAAAAUAGAUAUAAUGGUAAGAAUAUGAAGAUUUGUUUUUAAAAAAAAUUAUGAAAAUUAAAAGGGAUAGACCCAUAAUAAAAUCUCGACAUUUUCCUCACCUUACAAAUUUUAGUGACCUACUAGUAUAAAAUUCUAACAUCAAAAACAUUAGGCCAACUUUUAUCGUCACAGAAUAGAAGAAUAACUAUGUUUGGAUAGCAAUUUUUUCCAAAAAAAAUUUUCGCUUGCAUAAUAAACACAUUUUCCAAUCCAUUUUUUUUUUUUACAUUUCCAACCACCUUUUUAUUUCACAUACAUCACAUCACAAAAAGUACUACAGUAAUUAUUCCAAAUAAUUAUUUGGAAAAAUACUCUAUCCAAACAAAUUAAAAUUGCAUUUCCGGAAGGAUUUUACAGGUCCAAAAGAAACCCUUAUUUGUUUUAUUCAGUUUAGUCAAAUUCACCUUCUAUUCAUGGUAUAAUAUGCAGUGAAAUACCUAUGAAUAAAUAAACUUCAUGCAUUAAACAAACUAUAUAUUCCCCUUUUGCAUGUGUAAUUGAUGAAGACAAGAUAAGGUUUUAUUUCUUCUUUGGUAAAAAAAAAAAUGCCUCUAAAACUUCACACAAAGGUAUGCUGUUCUAAUCAGGAUAAGAUCCAAUUAAGGGUUGAUUAAAAUAGAACAUAUCAGUAUUGACCUGCAUUUGACAUGUUUAAACUAAAGGCCAAAAUUUUGAGGAUUAGAUAACAAAGUAAAAAAUUUUUCCUAGAGAUUUCAUAUACGUACCUUCACUGGCAGGAGCUGCUGGGCUAAGGAGACUUUGAAAAAUUAAGAGACAAAGCAUCAGAAGAGUCAUAGAGUUCUUCAUUGUCAUUCUGUUUCUUGCAAU
Molecule: long non-coding RNA, 1187 nt
Filed under: Coffea arabica (coffee)
Lineage: Eukaryota; Viridiplantae; Streptophyta; Magnoliopsida; Gentianales; Rubiaceae
Description: long non-coding RNA (CARA_LNC002200)
Source: RNAcentral